This is a non-coding RNA of Struthio camelus australis, 5136 nucleotides long. The record is from RefSeq and is a predicted model, not a curated record. NCBI's taxonomy places the organism in Eukaryota, Metazoa, Chordata, Aves, Struthioniformes, Struthionidae.
UUUUUCUCUGGAACAUCAAGGAAAACGAUACUACUGCUCCUCAAAGGAGACAUCCUGUUACCAGUGAAGUUCAUGCCUUUCAAAUCUUUGGUUUUACAGGGCACAGCAGUUUAAAGUAACUGUUGUAUGUUCUGUCAUCCUUCCUUGCAAGCAGAUGAAUACAGCAAACAUCGCAGUAGCAGUGAAAGUCCCUCGUACAGUCAGGAUCAAUACCUUACUCUUGUAAGUGCCGGUUUCUAGCGGGGGGUGUCCUUGGUGGGAUGAACAGCUGUCCUCAGCUCACUGCUCUGUACUUGUACAAAAUUUACCUGAGAACUCCACACCUGCCCUUUUCCUCCAAUAGACAAUUUCUAACCAUGGUCAAUCUUAUUUAGGACAUGGUUCAGUAAAGCAUAUAAGCAACUACUUAAUUUAAAGCAGAUAUGUAUUACCAUUGUUCUUAAGGAGCUAGGUUAGAAGCCAGCCAAACAGGCCUAAUAAAAAUACUCUUGAAGCUAUAACAGAAUAGUUAUUUCCGAAAUGAUUUAAGUGGUCUAGAAACUCAUUGAACAGACAAAAAGUGAAAAGUAUAUCUAUUCUUACCCCUUAAAAAGCUUUUCUGGAGUUACAGCUAAUUUAUAGAAUUUCUUGAGUAAAGAAAUGUAUCCAUUGUCAUUGUCUGGAGAAGAUUAGACUCAUAUCUAGCAGAACAGUACUAUGGUGACAGCUGCUAAAGCAAAUACUGUAAGAAACAGCUAUACAAUUUUGAAAAAGUGGACACAAUUUGACCUUGCUGGGAGAAGGCAUAACCAUAGUGACUUAAAUAAAUUACUGCUGUUUUUUCAAGGCUGUAAGUUUGACCUAGUAAGUCUAAACAGUGUCAGAGGCUGAAUGCCCCCCUGCCACUCAUCCUCCAUGACUCGACUGGCUGUCUGAAAGGGAAGGAUGGUGCUUUCUCACCCUUACAGUGUGUUAAGAGGACCUCUAGGAUUGCUAUAAUCAUAUUAAGAUCCUUCUGUGCCACUGCUCUUUACACCAUACCUAUGGAAACUGCAGCUGAAAUGUCUCCAGAGCUCUUGCAGGGUCUUUCCCAACUGCAGUUUUCUGGAUAUAGACAGUACCUUUUAAUCACCUGUCUAGUCACAACUUCCCACUUUUCUGAUAAGUGCAAUGGGAGACUAGUUAUCAGUUCCACAGAACUAGCAUAGCUCAUGGAUAUCAUGUUUGUUUUGUUUGCCCAAUUAAAAGAUCGGGUGUGAGUUUAAAAUUCCCAGAAACCGCAGCAGCAGCGUUGCACUGCAUAUGGCAGAGGAAAUGCAAUUAAUAUGUCUGUCUGGAAGCUAAGAGGAUAUCAGCAAUUGCUAUCAAAACCAGAAUUCACAUGGAGAUCAUUGCAAUUCAAACAGCUAUUUGACCUGACUUUCAAAAGACCAGAAUAAAGUAGCCUGAUUGGAUUCCUCAGGGAAUCUGGUGUUCAGCUGGGAGAGGCUUUAGCUUUGUUAACUGUCUAAGCACUGGCAAGUGUUUAAACUGGAAUAAUAAGGUUUAAAUUCCCAGGGUCAGCAGGCCAGCGCAGAGAGUGUAAUUUUAAAAGAAAAGCAUGCUUUAUAAAGCAAUUAAUAAAAGUCAGACCCUAAGGUGGCAUCUGUUCCAUUUAUUUCAAGAAAGGCAUCGCAGAAUAUCAGCAAAUUGCUUUAUUUCUUUGCUUGAGUUCAUUUCAAAAUGUAUCUAAUUGUAAAAGAUUCCCCAGAGGACUGCCAUCAGGUAUAGAAGUCAUAUGCAAUUCCCCAGGGUUCAGCUUUGUCUAAGAAACUGUAAGAGGCAUUUCACUGAAACUGCACACCAAACCAGUUAUAUAAAAGUGGCAGCCACACAUGCUCACGUUCAGGUAGGCUGAGAUUACCAAACAAAACAAGCCAUUGUACAGUGUUAAUUGCUAAAAAGAACCACUAAACCUUAUUUUAUUUCCCCUUUUCCUCCAUUCUUAGUUGUGUUAAUCCAGUAAGUGAGCAGAAGUUAAAUAUCACUGAAGAUGCUAUUUUAGGACAUCUCAGAUUGGCAAGAAUCAUAAUUAAAUGGUCAUUACAGUCUCUUAAUCAGCUAUGUCUUUUCCUUCUGUGUUUGAAACAUUAAUCUCUUGCUUGUUUCAGUACAAGUUAUGCUAUAACUUUUAUACAACAACCUUUGGUCUGAUCAUAUAGCUCUACUGCAAGUCAAUGGCAGCUUUAGGUGACCAUGGAGCAAGCCUUGUCUUCUUACUUGUGCUGUAAAUGCCACAUAGCUCCUAUAAAUCAAAUAAACUACUGGGCAUUGGCAAGAUUUUGGCUUUGUGCUUCUGCUCUCAUUCUAGACUUGCAAAGAAUACUUCAGUCUCAAGGACCCAGCCAGCACUUAAAAUAAACAAGCAUUAGGAAUUCAUUAAAAAAGCAAAAUAAAUAUAUACGUUUCAGUCUAGAAAACAUUGAUUUAAAUUUCCCAGCAUUGUCUGAUACAAUUGUGAUUACUUAUGUUACUCAUUUCAGCUCACCUGCUCUGAUGCCGAUUUAGCCGCACCGCAGAGACUGUGUAUGUAAAUUAUCUACAUAGAUUUGUGAUCUGACCUCUCCACCAGAGCUUGUGCAAUGCAUUCGUAUGUGGGGAGCACACGUGUGGGAUCUGAGGGGUCUGUGCAGAGUGAAAAUCAAAGAACAUUUUCAGAAGUACUCCAUAUGUUGCCUGCAGGAUCCAUUUUUAAAACAGACAUAGCUACCUCUCUCCUGUUGAACUCAGCAUAACGAGGGGAAAAAAAUUCCUUUACAGCAACCUGAAGCCCAAGGCAGGAAAGCUGAAUUUGCUUCCAUGUAGUUCCAGCACUGAAUGUGCUUUGGCAACAUCUUCCAUAUAUUCCAGAGGCAGGAGGAGGGAGAUGGUUCAGAUUUAGUUGUCAGAGCAGAAGACUCCUCUCCCUCCUUUUUGUCAUCUCAACCAGUCAUGAGGAGGUAAAGUGGAAGGCAUUAGCUUAACAUGAAGAGCUAUGAUUUUCUUCGUUAUCUUCAAAGGAGGCAGCAUCUUGUCACCUGCCAUCUGUUUUACCUGCCAAUUAAGGUAAGAUACCUUUACUUUGAUGUUUAAGGUUGGCCAGCAGCAUAGCUUCUUCCUGACACUGCUGCACAGUAUGAGGAAACAUUUAAUUCAAGGAUAUUCAGUGUUUAUUGAUAGAAAAAGGAAAACUCACCCAUGUCUCACUUCUCCGUGUAUCUAAAGCUCGCAUUACUAUGGCAUUGCUGACCUGUAAAUUGGCCUGUAAAUAGUAUCAGUCAUCUGACUUUUGGAAUAGGGAAACACCACCAAGACUAAAGUGCCAUUACCUCUCUUGACCCUGUCUCCCGACACCAAAUAUGAAGCUUGUCAUUUCCAACACCAUGAAGAAGACCAUCUUUCUGAGCUUGUCUAAAUAUUGACCCAAAGUGGAAGAGUACAGUUUGUCCUUGUGCACUUUCCCCACGGCAUUGCAGCUGGAAGGUUACAGAUCAUGUCAUUCAUUCCCUGUGAGCUGUUGGUUGCUCAGCAGUUUCCCAGAUAGGGCGACGUAGACAGCCAUACAAGGAUUUAGAAUGGCAAGUUAAAAUGAAGAUUUCCAGGUACAUUAGUAAUAUGACUUAAUAGUUAGAGCCUUAUUUGUACUGGCUUCAGCAAAAUAACUGUAUCUAAAUAUGGAAUCCUUUGAUGAAGAGCUAGUGUCCUCCCUCAAGACAUGGCCCUACGUAGAAAUAGGAGCUUGCAUAGGAUCCGUACCACUCGGGGACUGAGAAAUGACAUUGCUAAGGCCGUCAGUGCAAAAAAGGCUGGGGUAUGGCAUGGGUUUUUGUGCCUGGGCCAGCAGUGUUCAAACCUUCGGGAUACCAAAGAUUCAGCUGCAGUCAGCCACUGUGGCUAUAAAUGCAAGGACAAAAUUUUUUCUCUAUUUGCCUUCUCCUGCACCCAUAUGCAAAAGUUAGUCAAUCCUGACCCUAAGUGAUUAGCUGAUUGUUGUGAAAAGUUAAGAACAAGGUAAAUCUUUACAUCCCAGUCUCACUGUGAUUACAGCUUCUAAGACAGCAAUUAGCCAUCCUUCCCUGCGUCCCAUCUGGGAGAGAGAAAUAACAUGUUACCUUCUGGAAUGAAGCCUCCCUUACAUGUUUUAACCUCUCUAGGAAAGUUCAUGCUGGGAUAUUUACAGCCUUUGAGUCACUGCAAUAACUUUUCCUUUGAAAUCUUCAAAUUAAAGGAAAGAGAUUGAUAUUUCAUGCCCUUUAGCUCUAAACAGUGGAUUUAGAAAAUGGGUUCCAGUAAAGUUGCCUUAUAGAAAGAAUUUUACAGUAUUUGCUAUUUUUGCUAUAUUCUAUUAUGAUUAUCCUAAUUUGAUAUGUUUGACUUGCAGUGGUCCACAGGGAGCCAUACAAGGAGACAGCACCCAGCUGGGCUCAUUGGCACUCUCAGGGGAUGAGGAGAAAUAGGUCUGGAAAUCAAAGAAUACGUCCAAGGAGAUAAGUAAAUGUGAGAAGGAGCCUCAUUCCCCCUGGAUCAACAGCAUCACUUCCCAGCAACUCCUGUUCAAGUCCUUCAAGACCAAUGCAGGAGAUUAGGCAGCGGCUGCAUUUAUAGCUAGCAUUGCUCUCUCUCCUUUCUUUCUGAGUUGUUGGUUGUGGUCACUUAUUCAGUUUAUUUUAGAGCUACUUCUUUCAGGCCUUUCAAUAAUUUAUGUCUCAAUAGGGAAAAAUGCCAUCCAAAGUACCCCCAUAAAUUUACUAAUGUCACCUCAGCUUUUGAAAGCUGAGACCACAAAAUCCUGGACUAUUGACCUUCCAGUGAUACAAUUUAAAGCCAAACUCUUAACUUAUUGACAACUUAUUGAGACUCACACAGACCAUUUUAAUUGUUUAGCCUGGCUGACUGACCACGGGGGGAGGAAAUAAAGUUCCCUUGGAGUUGCUCAAAGCUUUGCACGAGGGGUACCAGCACACACUGCAAAGCUCUGUGCUUUUGUGAGCCUCUCCUGAAGCACCUUUUUUAUCCUCUCCAUCGUGGUAACAAGAGCUGGCCCUGCCAAUGCAAGAAGACUUUGUGUUAUCGGCCCUUCCUGCCCUCAGACACAGGAGAGGCCAUUCCUGAGAGCUGCUGGUUCAGGUGAUGAAGCUU